RNAcentral lists this ribosomal RNA (468 nucleotides) under uncultured bacterium. Its description in RNAcentral is "partial 16S ribosomal RNA". It matches the Rfam family "Bacterial small subunit ribosomal RNA", at positions 28 to 507 of the family's 1533-position model. The record is from RNAcentral.
GACGAACGCUGGCGGCGUGCUUAACACAUGCAAGUCGAACGGAAAGGCCCUGCUUUUGUGGGGUGCUCGAGUGGCGAACGGGUGAGUAACACGUGAGUAACCUGCCCUUGACUUUGGGAUAACUUCAGGAAACUGGGGCUAAUACCGGAUAGGAGCUCCUGCUGCAUGGUGGGGGCUGGAAAGUUUCGGCGGUAGGGGAUGGACUCGCGGCUUAUCAGCUUGUUGGUGGGGUAGUGGCUUACCAAGGCUUUGACGGGUAGCCGGCCUGAGAGCGUGACCGGCCACAUUGGGACUGAGAUACGGCCCAGAAUCCUACGGGAGGCAGCAGUGGGGAAUAUUGCACAAUGGGCGGAAGCCUGAUGCAGCAACGCCGCGUGCGGGAUGAAGGCCUUCGGGUUUUAAACCGCUUUCGCCUGUGACGAAGCGUGAGUGACGGUAAUGUGUAAAGAAGCACCGGCUAACUACGUG